Molecule: ribosomal RNA, 253 nt
Filed under: uncultured bacterium
Lineage: Bacteria
Description: partial 16S ribosomal RNA
Rfam family: Bacterial small subunit ribosomal RNA
Source: RNAcentral
GACAGAGGUCCCAAGCGUUGUUCGGAUUCACUGGGCGUAAAGGGUGCGUAGGCGGUAGGGUAAGUCCGACGUGAAAUCUCGCGGCUUAACCACGAAAUUGCGUUGGAAACUAUCCUGCUUGAGGGUUGGAGAGGGGACUGGAAUUCUCGGUGUAGCAGUGAAAUGCGUAGAUAUCGAGAAGAACACCGGUGGCGAAGGCGAGUCCCUGGACAACUCCUGACGCUGAGGCACGAAAGCUAGGGGAGCAAACAGG